GACGAACGCUGGCGGCGUGCUUAACACAUGCAAGUCGAACGAAGUGGCGAACGGGUGAGUAAUACGUGGGUUACUGCCCUCCUUUUUGGGAUAAGCCUUGAAAACGGGGUCUAAUACCGAAUAAAGGGGGAUGGCGCGCGGGCUAUCCGCUUGUUGGUGGGGUGAUGGCCUACCAAGGCGGUGACGGGUAGCCGGCCUGAGAGGGUGACCGGCCACAUUGGGCUGAGAUAGGGCCCAAACUCGUACGGGAGGCAGCAGUCGGGAAUAUUGCACAAUGGGGGAACACCUGAUGCAGCAACGCAGGUGCGGGAUGACGGCCUUCGGGUUGUAAACCGCUUUCAGCCAUGACGCGGUAGUGGCAGAAGAAGCACCGGCUAACUACGUGCCAGCAGCCGCGGUAAUAC
Molecule: ribosomal RNA, 404 nt
Filed under: uncultured bacterium
Lineage: Bacteria
Description: partial 16S ribosomal RNA
Rfam family: Bacterial small subunit ribosomal RNA
Source: RNAcentral